CCUACGGGUGGCUGCAGUGGGGAAUAUUGGACAAUGGGCGAAAGCCUGAUCCAGCCAUGCCGCGUGUGUGAAGAAGGCCUUCGGGUUGUAAAGCACUUUCAGUGGGGAAGAAAGCCUUGGGGCUAAUACCCUCGAGGAAGGACAUCACCCACAGAAGAAGCACCGGCUAACUCCGUGCCAGCAGCCGCGGUAAUACGGAGGGUGCGAGCGUUAAUCGGAAUUACUGGGCGUAAAGCGCGCGUAGGCGGUCUGAUAAGCCGGUUGUGAAAGCCCCGGGCUCAACCUGGGAACGGCAUCCGGAACUGUCAGGCUAGAGUGCAGGAGAGGAAGGUAGAAUUCCCGGUGUAGCGGUGAAAUGCGUAGAGAUCGGGAGGAAUACCAGUGGCGAAGGCGGCCUUCUGGACUGACACUGACGCUGAGGUGCGAAAGCGUGGGUAGCAAACAGGAUUAGAUACCCGUUAGUC
Molecule: ribosomal RNA, 464 nt
Filed under: Vreelandella stevensii
Lineage: Bacteria; Pseudomonadati; Pseudomonadota; Gammaproteobacteria; Oceanospirillales; Halomonadaceae
Description: partial 16S ribosomal RNA
Rfam family: Bacterial small subunit ribosomal RNA
Source: RNAcentral